AACACUUUAAGAAAAAUAUCCAAGACCUCUAAACGUGUUACUUUCCCUAGCCUAAAAUCUUAAACCAUUUCCUUGCAUGUAUCCUCGUCUUUUUCAUUUCAUGCAUGAUUAUUACGUAGUUAAAUGGGAUUUUCAGUUAUUUAAUCACUGCAAAAGAGUCAGGAUUUGUUUCUUCAGAUCGCGAUUCAUUUGUUAAAUGCAUUUGGGCCAGGGUCCUCUCAGUUGGGAUCUGUGAAGUGAAUUGAAGUGCAGCCACUAAAUUCAGCAUUUUAGAGCAAUAUCCACCAGGGACAGUAUGGAACAAGGAAAGUUGGAGGUGCCUCAAUUAGCACUACUUGGUGGAGGAAUCUUUGUUCAAACUCAAUACAUUCCUAGACUUAGAGAGAUCGCUCAUUUGGUCUCCCUUAAAGUUUUAUGGAGUCGUAGUGAGAAAUCUGCAAAGGUUGCUGCAGCACUUGCUCUAGAUUUUUCUCCGAAUAUAGAUAUCAAGUGGGGUGAAGCAGGCCUUAACGAAAUAAUUCAAGAUAAAUCAAUACAUGGGGUUGCAGUUGUUCUUGCAGGGCAAGCUCAGGUAGAAAUAUCAACAAUGAUGUUAAAAGCAGGAAAACAUGUCCUUCAAGAAAAACCUGCUGCUCUAUCGGUCACAGCAGCGGUAGCUGCUUUAUCAUUUUACACGUCUCUGUCUAUCAAUGGAGUCCAGCCACCAAUAUGGGCCAUUGCAGAAAAUUACCGAUUUGAACCUGCUCUUUUAGAGGCUGCAGCGUUGGUAAAGGAUUUGGGUGACCUAAUGACUAUUCAAUUUACUGCAGAAGCACCAAUGAACAAUUUGAACCCUUACUUUUCAAGUGAAUGGAGGCGAAAUUUCAUUGGGGGUUUUAUUCUUGAUGUUGGUGUGCACUUCAUUGCAGGCUUGAGAUUGGUCGCAGGUUGUGAGAUCAUUUCAGUCGCUGCUAUUUCUCGUCAUGUUGAUCCAUCCUUACCUCCACCAGAUAAUAUAUCAUCACUUUUUCAGUUGGAUAAUGGCUGUGCUGGAGUUUUUUCGAUUUCAUUGUCUUCGACAUCAAGAAAGAUUUGUUUGCGAGUCGUAGGAUCAAAAGGCACAGUUGAAGUUGGGCGUGGGACAAAAGAUGGGGGACAUGGUUACACGGUAGCAUAUUAUCCUGCAGGUGGCGUUCCCCAGCAUUCAUUCUAUCCAUUUUCUGGAGUAAAUAAUGAGCUGAAGGCUUUUGUGAAUGACAUGUUCAAGGCAGCAUCUAAGGAAGGGCCAAGUUCCCCAGAUUCUCGAAGUUCCUUGCUUGAAGGAGCUCGUGAUGUUGCCGUGAUUGAAGCUAUGCUCCAGUCAAGUGCUAAACAAGGGGCUCUUGUUCACGUGGAGCAACUAUCAUAAGUAAUGGUGGUUUGAUGAAAACAAAGAUCAAGGAUGAUGAACCGACUUGUGUUGAUGAUCCAAAGUAACCAAAAUAAGUAGUGGGCCCCAUUGGAAAGUUCAUUUAGCAAUUGGACUCCCUUCAGAGCCUAGGACAUCAAGGAGCGUUUUUUUAACACAUUGCUUGUAGGUUUUGGAUAGACUUUCAACUUUGCCAAUCUUGUUUUUGGUUAACAUGCUUUAAUAGUGCAAAUGGAUUAAUCCUAGGAUAGUCAUUCACAUUGUGCAAUCUUGGCUAAAAAGGACAUUCACAUCUUGCAAUAUUGGUUAAAAGAAACAAUCACAUUGUCAUUUUGCUACAAUCUUGGGUAAAACGAACAAUCACACAUUGCUAUCUUGGACUAAAAUGAACAAACAAACUUUUCUA
This is an RNA transcript of Cryptomeria japonica (Japanese cedar), 1793 nucleotides long. It is a transcript of the gene named dehydrogenase FPY6, with no coding region annotated. The record is from RefSeq and is a predicted model, not a curated record. The transcript has 15 exons. NCBI's taxonomy places the organism in Eukaryota, Viridiplantae, Streptophyta, Pinopsida, Cupressales, Cupressaceae.